This 801-nucleotide long non-coding RNA is filed under the name Callithrix jacchus (white-tufted-ear marmoset). RNAcentral describes it as "lncRNA (ENSCJAG00000083674.1)". Lineage: Eukaryota; Metazoa; Chordata; Mammalia; Primates; Cebidae. The record is from RNAcentral.
AGCAGCUUGGCCAGCGUGUCAAAAUUGGGACUCCAUAGCGGGAAGUAUCCAACAAGGCCCAAAGAGGAGAGGAGGUGCUUCUUGUGUGGGGAAGGGGCAUGUCCUGAAUUAGCUCCUUUUGUUGGGUUGGGAUGGCCCGAGAAUUCGGUGUUAGGACAAGUCCAAGAGACAAGGUCUUACUUCAUCACCCAGCUUGGAGUUCAGUGGCAUAAUUGCAGCUCACUGCAACCUUCACCUUCCAGGUUCAAGUGGUCUUCCCACCUCAGGCUCCCAAAUAUCUGGGACCACAGGUAUGUACCACUAUGCCCUGCUAUAGAGAUGAAAUCUUACUAUGCUUCUCAGGCUGGUCUCAAACUCCCAGGUUCAAGCCGUCCUCCUGUCUUGGCCUCCCAAAGUGCUGGGAUUAGAGGUGUGAGCCAUUGCAAUCAACCUUCAAUUCCUUUUUAUUUCAUCUUCUAAAAUUAUGUUUGACAGAGUAGGAGCAUAGCUGUCUUGGACAAGCACUGCCAUUUCAAAGUUCCCCUUGAUCAAAAACUGCCUAAAUCUAAAGGGCAUCAGCCUAAUAGCUAAAGUCAGCGUGGCCGUAAACCACAAAUUACAUCUCCAACCAGAAACAUUCCAACCCUAAGAUAAAUCCCUCCCCAACCAGAGGGACACCCUCCCUGUUUGGGUGAGGCUUACAAUGUGGGCCCCUCACCAUCACAGGAGGAAAUCUCUUCACUGCUGCUGCUGACAAUAGAAGACUGAGGGUGUCCGGGAUCCUUUGCCCUCACGUCCAGUGAGUCCACAGAAACUACAGUG